UAGGGGCUUAGGGGUUAGUAUUAGGUUAGGAUUAUGGUUAGUUCGGCGGUUAGGCUUGUUAAUAAUGCCUCAUGAUGUCCCACUGGGGCAAAAGAGCUCAAUCACCACCAACGCCAUGGGGUAUAUAGAGGGGACGAAUCACCUAGUUAAUCCAAUAUUAUUUUAACUGGGUGUUAGGCUGAAAGCUUUUCGAGCCAAGAUUCAAAACCACGUUCAAAUGGAGAAAGCGCCGUGAGUCAGCAAGGCUUGAGAGUAAUAGCCUUGCCUGGACUCUCGCCGCCACGCACGAUUCGGCGUUACAUUCCCAGCACGACAUCGCAAAUGG
Molecule: small RNA, 325 nt
Filed under: Histoplasma capsulatum
Lineage: Eukaryota; Fungi; Ascomycota; Eurotiomycetes; Onygenales; Ajellomycetaceae
Also listed under: 1 other name
Description: hypothetical RNA
Source: RNAcentral